GUGCUCACUUCUGCAGCACAUAUACUAAAAUUGGAACAAUAUAGAGAAGAUUAGCAUGACCCCUGGGCAAGGAUGACAUGCAAAUUCAUGAAGUGUUCCAUAUAAAU
Molecule: small nuclear RNA, 107 nt
Organism: Papio anubis (olive baboon)
Lineage: Eukaryota; Metazoa; Chordata; Mammalia; Primates; Cercopithecidae
Source: Ensembl